CCUCUCACAGUCGGUGUUGCGCCCUCCCCGCGCCCCCCUUCCCGCUCCAUUGGUGUAGUGGCGGACAUACCCCACGUCACACCCAGGCUCACAAACCAUUAUCAUCGACGCGACGCCCAGUGAAGACGAUACUCGCUGCCGUUCGGCUUACACUCAGCAGUGCCUCUCACGGGACAGAUAGGAACGACACCCUUCUCCUUACCCACCGCCCAGCGCCAUGCCCCCGUCGCACGUCCGCAAGGAGGAGGCGGAGCUCCGCCAUAUCGCGAAGCAGGCUCGGCUUGCACGCAAGGAGGUGCAGCAGCGCGAGCGGAAGCAGCGCCAGCGUGAGCGGCGCGCGGCCGCCAAGAACGGUGAGGCAUCUACUGCUGCUCAGCAGACCGCUGCGUCUUCGGCAAUGAGAAAGCGAGGGGCAAUCAUUCUUCCAGAUGAGGUCCAGGAGCUGCGCCAGCGGCUCAUGGGCGACGACGCCGCCAGCUCUGCGUCUGCGGCCAACUCUCCCGAGAGAAAGACGAAAAAGGCGGCAGCAAGGAAGGCCGCCCGCUCUCCCGCGAAGAAGUCCGCAGCCGCUGCCGGGGACAGCAACCACAGCGCCGCCUCCUCCUCCUCCUCCACACUAGUUCCCACGUAUCACCAGGAGGUGCACUUCAAGAAGAAGAUGUUCUUUGUGGAUGUGGUUCUGCACCACGUCCCGCAUCAGAAGAUCGACAUCAGUGAGACGAACACGAAUCAGCUGGUGGUCGACACGUGCGGCCACACGAAGAAGUACCGCCUUGUGCUGCCGUACCCGAAGGGCAUGCUGUGCGACGCUGCGGCGGCCACGUACGAGUUCGAGAACGGCAUCCUGCAGUGCCGCCUUCCCAUCAUGGAUGGCGCCAUCCCGGCCAGUCUCGAGGCAGAGAACGAGAGGAUGAUCGAAAAGAUGCGUCAGCAGAAGGCGCUGCGCUUCCGCGUGACGCGGGAUGGCGACUUGACGGUGCGCACGCGCCAGGCGCUGCUGACGCAAACGCCCGCCGUCCAGGCUGCGCUGCCAGAGGCGAAGAAGGCGGCAGCAGCACAGCGCGGUGACGACACGGAUAGCGACAACGAGGCCGUCAACGCCCAGGCGCGAGAGGCGAAGGGGACGAAAAAGAUGGCUAGUCCCAAAUCUCGGAAGCGUACUCGCGACGGCGACGAGGAGGAUGGCAAGGAGACGCCGCAGCAGACCAGGUCUGUAUCAGCGAAGAAAGCGAAGGGCGCGGCUGCUGCGGAGAACGCUUCGCCGAAGGAGGCUGCCGCGGCAUCGAAGCCGGCCUCGAAGAAGUCGAAGCCUGAAGACUUCAAGGCUGAGCACGCCAAGGCGAUGGAGGCUGCAAAGGCGGCCGCGGCCAAGGUUCACCUCUCCAUGCGCGAGCGGAUGAAGCUGGCCAAGGCAGUGCAGGCGAGCCGCGAGGAGCGCCUGCAGACUCGCUCCCUUCGCAAGGAGCGUAAGGAGGAGCAGAAGCAGAAGUCUUUCCACCGUGUCUUGGAGGAGCAGAAACGCCAGCUGCUGGCCCGCGCGUCGAUGCAGCAACCGACGCCACGCCCCACCGCGAGGGCAAACGCGUCUGCGAAGGCGGUGCACUUCGCCGACGCGUGAGAGGACCUGCCCCUCUUCGUCUACGCGCUCUAACGGAGAAAUUGUUCAGGCAGGUGUCACGCAGACGUACAGAUGGGCGGCCCGGCCUGGCAGCCGUUGGGAAGGAUGCCUGCUUGCUUGCAGAUGGUGACAAGUCAAGGAGGAAGAGGAGGGUGGUGAUGGUGGUCGUGGGGUAUGAAGGGUGCCUAUUCCUACGAGGCAGUAAUCCUCCUUGCGUUCACCUCUCACACCGCGCGCUCUCGCUCACUCGUUUCCACCCUCUCCCCCACCGAUCUCCGCUUCUCUAAGACACCCGUAACAUGCACGCUGAUAAUACUGCAUCGACUAAAGGAGCGCGAAGGUGGGCGGGGUUUGCGCGACGGCACGCUUUUG
RNAcentral lists this unclassified non-coding RNA (1990 nucleotides) under Leishmania donovani. Its description in RNAcentral is "gene:LdHU3.07.0770(CDS-product:hypothetical_prote in_conserved)". The record is from RNAcentral. Lineage: Eukaryota; Euglenozoa; Kinetoplastea; Trypanosomatida; Trypanosomatidae.